UACAUUUUAGCUGAGAUGCAAUUCUCCUGGCCUUCGAGGGACAGCAUCUCCUUUUUGUAGGUGUCUGAGCUAGACAUCUCUUCCCUGAGGGUUUGGAACCCCCACCUCUCCCUGGCUGCCUCUGGUUGACAUAGAAAUACACGUGGUGCCAAGUCUCUGAAGGUUCUGCACUGGUGCCAGGAGCACAUUGCAGUGGUACUGGGCUGUGAGGAGGGAGCAUUCUGCCGAGCUGGCCGGGAGGAGCUAGCAUGAGGACUGUGUCCUGGCCAGGUACCUUGGUUGAGCCGUUUGACCCUAUGGGGGAGUCCCUCCCAACACCGCUUUUUGGAGUCAGGUUCAAGCUCAGAGGUCCCAGAUUCAAUUGAGUGAUGCUUCCGGGCCAUUGGGAGAGACCAUCCCCACUGGGCAGAAAGGCCUCCAGCAGCCAGGAGCUGGCAUGGAGCGAGCCCAUUUUAUAUCCUGCUUGACCUGUGACCUUAGGAGGGUCAACCCUCUGUGCCUCAGAGUCACCCUGCUGUGAAAGGGGGUGGUAACUUACACUCCCCACACUUCAUACCUAUUCACAUCCAUUCCUAUGACAAGAGUCCCCUGGAAGGUAGAAGUUUAGCACCCCCAGCGUUACUGGGGAGACUGUCUCUCUUGCUGGAGUGGGUUUCAUCGCCUCCAUGUGGACAUCAGCAUGUUAGCUUCUGUGAGACAUGUGGCUGAACUAAACAGGAAGGACAGGAUCAGAGAAAGAUAGGCUAGGCCUUCCUGGCUUUCAAAUCCCCACAGGUAGCUCCAGGAAUCCCAGAUCCUGCCUCACUUCUGACAGGCCACUGCCAUAUCUAGACAUCCCCUGGAAAGGAGAGUCAUCAUUGGCUCACCCCCACACUCCCUCAGUGUUCAAACCCCUUUUGCUAACACUUGAGGGAUGGAUGGGGCUAACAGCCACCACCUGCCUGGCUCCCCCCACCCCCACCCCUCCAAAUGUCACAGAACCUAGUCAUCCAGGCCUCAGCUCUUUGCUCCUUGAGUUGAGGUUUCUCCAGGCCUGGGCGUUGCUGGUGACACCCUUCUACAGGGUUUAAGCCCCUGAUCCCCCUUUCCAUAUUUGACCACAGGUCUCCCGUGGAAGGAGGUAGAGUCCUUUGGGUUGUGAUGGGCUGUGUUGCGAGUCACACUCGGGCUGGUUCUGGGUUGGGAACUUUGCUGGCCCACGCUUUCUUGAAUUUGUAUUUGGUUUCUCGAGAUCCCAGGAAGAAGAAUCCACCUGCUUGCAAGGCCUGGGCCUGGAGUCUCAGAGCCCCAAGCUGUGCGGGUCCACGAGACUCAGCUCUUCCUAGAUCAACUGCCUUGGCUUCUUCAUGUGCAAACGCAAACGCAAAACUGCCAGAGAAGACAGUAGACGCUAUCCCUCCUGAAGCUCCCAAGGGAGCCCCUGCCUGCCAGUGCCACCAGAUGACAGUCCACCAGGGAGGAUCUUCCUCAGAUCUCCGUCCUCAUCAGUCACCUGCUGGGCAGCUGCCUCUUAAAUUCCUGUCUGCAGUCCAGACAGUCGCCAAUAUGCACACUUUACCCCAGCAGCCAAGCGGCUGUAGCUGCACCAGACUCAGAACCAACAGAGGGACCCAGGGGAGGGCAUCCGGUGUCAGGCUUCUGUUUUUAUUUGUAAAGGUAAUGACUUCUUAUAAACUCACUUUUUCAGAUGACUGGCUAGUUCUUUUUGUCGUUUGUUAUUAUUUUUUUUUUCUUUCCUGGGCUGCCGUUUGGAAUUGUACAUUGUAAAAUAUCCAAAGAUGCUGAGUACUGUAUGAUCAAGCACUUGAAACAAAUGGUUGGGGGGAGGGAAUGUGGGGGGCGGCUGUGGGGUUUUUUUAUUAUUAUUAUUUUGUUUUGUUUAUGUUCCUGACUUCCCUGUCUGUCUGUGGGAGACCUUUGGAAUUUUUUCUAUUUAUAAAACUUUUUAUGUGACGCCUCUAUGUAAAAAUGACAC
Molecule: long non-coding RNA, 1975 nt
Filed under: Mus musculus (house mouse)
Lineage: Eukaryota; Metazoa; Chordata; Mammalia; Rodentia; Muridae
Description: long non-coding RNA chr18:76146454-76148429
Source: RNAcentral